This 420-nucleotide ribosomal RNA is filed under the name uncultured bacterium. RNAcentral describes it as "bacterial SSU rRNA". It matches the Rfam family "Bacterial small subunit ribosomal RNA", at positions 355 to 775 of the family's 1533-position model. The record is from RNAcentral.
UCGAGAAUUUUUGGCAAUGGGGGAAACCCUGACCAAGCGAUGCCGCGUGUGGGAUGAAGGCCUUCGGGUUGUAAACCACUGUCAGUGGGGAGAAAAGGACCGGUGUACCCGGUCUUGAUCUAUCCGCAGAGGAAGUGUGGGCUAAGCUCGUGCCAGCAGCCGCGGUAAGACGAGCCACACGAACGUUAUUCGGAAUUACUGGGCUUAAAGGGUGCGUAGGCGGCGCGGAAAGUUGGGUGUGAAAUCCCUCGGCUCAACCGAGGAACUGCGCCCAAAACUGCCGUGCUCGAGGAAGAUAGAGGUAAGCGGAACUUACGGUGGAGCGGUGAAAUGCGUUGAUAUCGUAAGGAACACCUGUGGCGAAAGCGGCUUACUGGGUCUUUUCUGACGCUGAUGCACGAAAGCUAGGGGAGCAAACGG